UCGCAUCCCUCCUCCUUCUUGCUGUCGGGCUCCUUCCCCAUGACCGGGCUGGUGGCGGCUCCGCCGUGGCCGCCUCUUCCUCCUCCUCCUCCUCGGUGGGCUUCGCUGGCCCGCUCGGCUAGAGACGCCGCGGAGGCAGGUGCCGGAGCCGGGAGUUGAGCGCCCAGGCUUCGGCGCCAACGGCAGAAAAGGGGGCUCGCUGGCUGGCUGGCUGGCUGUCUCCGCUUGCAGCUGUUGCCGCUCGAGCGAAGGAGCGCGUGUGCGGGGGUACCGCGCGGUGGUGACGCCGAGUCCGUCACUCUGCGGCUCUCCGGUCCGUCCUCCUCCCUCUCUUGCGGCUCCUGUUGCUGCUGCUGCUCUCGGCGGCGUCUGUUCUCGUUCUGCGGCUUCCUCGAGGCACAGGCAGAGAGGUGGAGCGACUGUGGAGAGAGAGCCGCCUUGUGCGCGCGUGGGGAUAUGUGUGUGUGCGCGCGCACUAGCUCCUUGGCACGCAAGACGACCCCCACCGCCGCCGCCGCCGCGCGCAAGGUUGCCUGGCAGGAGCUGUCCUUUGGACAGCGCUGGCGCGCGCGCUCGGAUCCCCGCUCUCUCUCUCCCUCUCCCCCCCGCCCCCGCCUCACUUUGGCGCGGAUGCUCGUGGGGAGGGGCGCCCGUUGGGAGCACGACUCGCCCGCGUUCCUUCCGCGUGUUUGCUGUUGGCUUAGGUGAAGGGAGGGGAUCGCGGAGGCAGCAGGGAUUCUCUCAGACGCUCUCCAGAGAAGGAUGUGCAACCUGAGACUGCUCGCAUAAGUGACUCCUUGUCUCUAGGGGCUGAUGGAGGUAGAAACAGGUACCGUAGUUAAGGUUCUGUUAAGUUUUCUCCAUCGUCUUUUCUGUUCUGCUGUGUUGUUUCCUUAUGUGAGCCAGUCAACAAAGUCAGCAUAGUGGACACUUUGGUUGGAAGUGCCCACACUUUCUUGGGAUCCACUGUACAGAGGAAGUAACAAGCUGAUGGUAUUAUAAUGACUUUGAGAAAGUUGACUUAGAUAAAAAUCAAGCAAAUAAUAGUCGGGAUCUCAUGUUCAGAAAUACUCAAAGAGAAAGGAGUUAAUGGUAGGUGAGAGUUCCUUAAAGAUGAAACACUAAAGUCAUAAUCACAAACAAUUUGUAUGAGAAAGAAAAGUGAAAAAAUGACUGCAGAAAGCAGAGUGGGCACAUAAAGAACUUUAGGAUGAGCUGAGAAGAGAGGUGUACAAAAUGGAAGGGGUGAAAACAUUAUACAAGAGUACAAAGGAAUAGCCAAUAUUUGCAGGGAGAAGGUCAAGAGAACUAAAGGUCAGAAUGAGCUCAGACGUAUGAGAUAGGUUAACAAGAGAAAAUUUCCUACCUCUGUUUGGAGCCAGAGGAAGAACAAGGAAUCGUAGGUCUCCUGGGAGGAAAAGAUGGGAUACUGUUAAUGGAUGACAUAGAAAAGGCAGAGCUGCUUAGCCUGCAUUGCUCCCAACUUCUCCUGAAAGGAAAACAGUGCUCAGCCUGGUGAAAACAGAAUCAGUGAUGCAGAGGAGGUGGCUGCAGCCCAAGAUAAGUAGAGAGGUAGUGCAGGAAUGCCUAGCUAAUUUAGAUAAAUUCAAGUCCCCAAGGCCAGAUGAACUGCAUCCAACAGUACUAAAAUAACUUGCCGAUGUAAUGUCAGCUCAACGUCUCACGCCUACAAUCUCUGGGAAUUUUUGGAGAACAAGCAUGCUGCCUGAAGACUGGAGGUGGGCAAAUAAUACUGAUCUUCAAAAAGGGCAGAAAAAAAGAAAUACCAUCCAGUUAGCUUGACAUCGAUAUAAGGAAAAGUUCUAGAACAGACAAUAAAAACAAUUGUUCCAGUAGCA
Long non-coding RNA from Pogona vitticeps (central bearded dragon), 1859 nucleotides. The record is from Ensembl. NCBI's taxonomy places the organism in Eukaryota, Metazoa, Chordata, Lepidosauria, Squamata, Agamidae.